AGAGUAGCUAUAUAUUGACAAUGAUACCAAUGCAGGGUGAGCUUACUACAAUAUCUGAUCUUCUUCUAUCAACAACAAAUGUUGUUUUACAUGUAAGAGUAUCAAGGAUGUGGGAAUUCAGAGAGGGAGGAAAUGAAAAAGGGAAUAUAAAGCAUCUUGACUUGGUUCUCAUUGACCAGAAGGGUGAUGCAAUCUAUGCUGAAAUACCACCAGAUGUAAUACCAAUUUUAAAGCCUCAGCUGUGCGAAAAACUAAUCAUUUUCCUUGGCAAGUUUGUGGUUGAAAAAGCUAAACCUGGAUACAAGGUGGUGCAAAACCCAUAUAUGCUGAGGCUGAACAGAAGGACUACCAUUGCCAAAUCAAAUGCUCAUGAUCUGGAAUUUUCAAAGUACACAUUCUCAUUGACUCCAAUUGAAAUAUUGCCACAAUUUGUUAAAAAUAAAGAACGAUUCCUAGAUGUACUUGGAAAAAAUCACCGCUGUCUCAAAUCCUGCAGUAGUGUGUAACACUGCAGGAGACCUCAUGAUGAGAAGAAUAAUAAAGCUGCAGAACCUAAGCUUACCGGUGGACGCAACAACUGUUGAAAAAAUUGAUUUACCAAAUGAAGAUCAGACUCAUGUAGCUUUUGAAGAAAAGAAUCUGUUACAGCUGAACGACAUAGAUCCUUUUACUCAAAAGGGUGAACGAUAUCAAUGCACUAUAACGAUCAUAGGAAUACCAGAUAAACAACAUUGGUGCUAUCGUGCUUGUCGCACAUGCUCAUCAAAAAUGAUUUGAACAUCUGAUGGAUUCCAGUGUACAAAGGAUAGAGGCUGCCCUUCAAAACAAUUUGAAU
This is an RNA transcript of Panicum virgatum (switchgrass), 835 nucleotides long. RefSeq lists it as uncharacterized. The transcript has 6 exons. Lineage: Eukaryota; Viridiplantae; Streptophyta; Magnoliopsida; Poales; Poaceae. The record is from RefSeq and is a predicted model, not a curated record.